CUUCGCAAUGGAUACCACAGACUUUUGGAUUGCUGGUACCAGUAGUAAUCAAUUCGUUUAAGGUGAUAUUAAUUUACUUUGCUAGUUUCAGCAGUUUUGAUACAAUAUACGAGUUUUGUCCGGUAGGCUUGCAAUCGGCAACGACAACAACACACGCAUACUACCAGUGAUAUUAUAACCAAAGAACAGGCUUGGAUGUAUGUGGCGGAUCUGGGUCAAUGCCUGAGCUGUGUGUACGUCCAAGUAGUUUUUUGUUCACGGUCCACUCGAUUUUCUGCUCUACCUUGGUGAUGAUUAUUAGAUAGAGGCUUAAAAUGCUUACAACGGGUAACGGAGAUUUAGGGUUCGAUUCCGGAGAGGGAGCCUGAGAAACGGCUACCACAUCCAAACAUCCAAGGAAGGCAGCGAG
This 409-nucleotide non-coding RNA is filed under the name Parasitella parasitica. RNAcentral's name for it is "Eukaryotic small subunit ribosomal RNA". It matches the Rfam family "Eukaryotic small subunit ribosomal RNA", at positions 114 to 429 of the family's 1831-position model. The record is from Rfam by way of RNAcentral. Lineage: Eukaryota; Fungi; Mucoromycota; Mucoromycetes; Mucorales; Mucoraceae.